UCUCUAAUGGCAGAUUAGUGCAUUAGCUUUAAGCGCUAAAUAUAGAAAUUCUUUAGAGAU
RNAcentral lists this transfer RNA (60 nucleotides) under Ergasilus tumidus. Its description in RNAcentral is "tRNA-Leu". The record is from RNAcentral. Lineage: Eukaryota; Metazoa; Arthropoda; Copepoda; Poecilostomatoida; Ergasilidae.